GGGGUUGACUGGAUUUGACGGCAAGCCGAGAUGGUACGUAAGCACGCGGAGCUGGGCUAUGGGAGGCUCCUAAAUCUCUUCUGUAGGAAAAUUAAUUGGCAACAACGAGUAUGCUCUCGCUGCCUAAUCGAAGUAUAGUAGAUUACUGGCUUAAUUCCCUUACAAGGUGAGGGAACGGGACGUCGCUCCAAGGAUGUGGUUCCGAAUCCGAAGAUCAAGCGGCGCAGGUUAAAUCGGAAAUAGUCUCAGCAGGCCCCGAUGCUGUGAUGAAAUUCAGGGGAUAAGGUUGUGAUUGGUGGCUUGGGUCUUGUCGCAGCACGAAAAUGAAGUCCAAGAUAAGCGUGUAGAAAGCGUAUGGUUUCCUUGUGCGGACGAGGGUUCGACUCCCUCCAGCUCCAC
This 399-nucleotide transfer-messenger RNA is filed under the name uncultured Prevotella sp. It matches the Rfam family "transfer-messenger RNA". Rfam says of the family: Bacterial tmRNA, also known as 10Sa RNA or SsrA, is named for its dual tRNA and mRNA-like properties. Its role is to liberate the mRNA from a stalled ribosome. Lineage: Bacteria; Pseudomonadati; Bacteroidota; Bacteroidia; Bacteroidales; Prevotellaceae. The record is from RNAcentral.